AUUCGGUGUAUUCUUCCCGCAGGUUUUCUGAACUUCUUCGCGAGCUCUCUGCUGCCAGACGGGAUGCAACGACAAAAGAAUCAUUGUCCAGAUACGGAGCUCACCUGUAUCCUGGAAUAUAAGGUACACGGGCAGCUUCAAUGGCCAGUUCAGCUUGUUCCUUUUGUAGUUCGAAAAUCCUCUUCCCUUCUUCGAAGCUACUUCCGAAGGCAGUUCGUGAAAUGACAUCCCCCCUAGUUGCAAAAGCUGGCACCAUCCUCUGCAAAGGAAAAAUAAUGGUAAACUGACCGAGAUAUCAGUCCACAGACACGAGGCGUG
Long non-coding RNA from Asparagus officinalis (garden asparagus), 318 nucleotides. RefSeq lists it as uncharacterized. NCBI's taxonomy places the organism in Eukaryota, Viridiplantae, Streptophyta, Magnoliopsida, Asparagales, Asparagaceae. The record is from RefSeq and is a predicted model, not a curated record. The transcript is spliced from 3 exons.